GCAUGAGCCGGGCCCCGGCGACCGGGAAAAUGCCCGGCGCCCCCGAGGCCGCGCCGGGGGACGGGGCGGGCGCCAGCCGCCAGAGGAAGCUGGAGGCGCUGAUCCGGGACCCCCGCUCGCCCAUCAACGUGGAGAGCUUGCUGGAUGGCUUAAAUUCCUUGGUCCUUGAUUUGGAUUUUCCUGCUUUGAGGAAAAACAAGAAUAUAGAUAAUUUUUUAAAUAGAUAUGAGAAAAUUGUGAAAAAAAUCAGAGGUCUACAGAUGAAGGCAGAAGACUAUGAUGUUGUAAAAGUUAUUGGAAGAGGUGCUUUUGGUGAGGUGCAGCUGGUUCGUCAUAAAGCAUCACAGAAGGUGUAUGCUAUGAAGCUUCUUAGUAAGUUUGAAAUGAUAAAAAGAUCAGAUUCUGCUUUUUUCUGGGAAGAGAGAGAUAUUAUGGCCUUUGCCAACAGUCCCUGGGUGGUUCAGCUCUUUUGUGCUUUUCAAGAUGAUAAGUAUCUGUACAUGGUAAUGGAGUACAUGCCUGGUGGAGAUCUUGUAAACCUUAUGAGUAACUAUGACGUGCCUGAAAAAUGGGCCAAAUUCUAUACUGCUGAAGUUGUUCUUGCUCUGGAUGCCAUACACUCCAUGGGCUUAAUUCACAGAGAUGUAAAGCCUGACAACAUGCUCUUGGAUAAACAUGGACAUCUAAAGUUAGCAGAUUUUGGCACAUGUAUGAAGAUGGAUGAAACAGGCAUGGUGCAUUGUGAUACAGCAGUUGGAACACCUGAUUAUAUUUCACCUGAGGUUCUCAAAUCACAAGGGGGUGAUGGUUACUAUGGGCGAGAAUGUGAUUGGUGGUCGGUGGGUGUUUUCCUUUUUGAGAUGCUGGUGGUGCAUCUCUAUAUGCAGGCUGUGUUCCAGGUAGCUCCAUUCUCCCCGCCUCUGGCCCAAUCUGAUGAUACAUUAGGGGAUACUCCAUUUUAUGCAGAUUCACUUGUAGGAACUUAUAGCAAAAUUAUGGAUCAUAAAAACUCACUGUGUUUCCCUGAAGAUGCAGAAAUUUCUAAACAUGCGAAGAAUCUCAUUUGCGCCUUCUUAACAGAUAGGGAGGUACGACUUGGGAGAAAUGGGGUAGAAGAAAUCAAACAGCAUCCUUUCUUUAAGAAUGAUCAAUGGAAUUGGGAUAACAUAAGAGAGACGGCAGCUCCUGUAGUACCAGAACUCAGCAGUGACAUAGACAGCAGCAAUUUUGAUGACAUCGAAGAUGAUAAAGGAGAUGUAGAAACUUUUCCAAUUCCUAAAGCUUUUGUGGGAAAUCAGCUGCCUUUUAUAGGAUUUACCUACUAUAGAGAAAAUCUGUUAUUAAGUGAGUCUUCAUCUUGUAGAGAAAAUGAUUCAUUACAAUCAAGGAAAAAUGAAGAAAGUCAAGAGAUUCAGAAAAAAUUAUAUACAUUAGAAGAACACCUCAGCACUGAGAUACAAGCCAAAGAAGAACUAGAGCAAAAGUGCAAAUCUGUUAAUACUCGACUUGAAAAAGUAGCAAAGGAAUUAGAAGAAGAGAUUACUUUAAGGAAAAAUGUGGAAUCAGCAUUAAGACAAUUAGAAAGAGAAAAGGCACUUCUUCAGCACAAAAAUGCAGAAUAUCAGCGGAAAGCUGAUCACGAAGCAGACAAGAAGCGGAAUUUGGAAAAUGAUGUUAACAGUUUAAAGGAUCAACUUGAAGAUUUGAAAAAAAGAAAUCAGAACUCUCAAAUAUCCACCGAGAAAGUGAAUCAGCUCCAGAGACAACUGGAUGAAACCAAUGCUUUACUGAGAACAGAAUCUGAUACUGCGGCCCGGUUAAGAAAAACCCAGGCAGAAAGUUCAAAACAGAUUCAGCAGCUGGAAUCUAACAAUAGAGAUCUCCAAGAUAAAAAUUGCCUGCUAGAGACUGCCAAGUUAAAACUUGAAAAGGAAUUUAUGAAUCUUCAGUCAGUUCUAGAAUCUGAAAGGAGGGACCGAACCCACGGAUCCGAGAUAAUUAAUGACUUACAAGGUAGAAUAUCUGGCCUAGAAGAAGACUUAAAGAAUGGAAAAAUCUUAUUAGCAAAAGCAGAGGUGGAGAAGAGACAACUGCAGGAGAGACUUACUGAUUUGGAAAAGGAAAAGAACAACAUGGAAAUAGAUAUGACGUACCAACUAAAAGUUAUACAGCAGAGCUUAGAACAAGAAGAAGCUGAGCAUAAGGCCACAAAAGCACGGCUGGCAGAUAAAAAUAAGAUUUAUGAGUCCAUUGAAGAAGCAAAAUCAGAAGCCAUGAAAGAAAUGGAGAAGAAGCUCUCAGAGGAAAGGACGUUAAAACAGAAGGUGGAGAAUCUAUUGCUGGAAGCUGAGAAAAGAUGCUCUUUAUUUGACUGUGACCUCAAGCAGUCACAGCAGAAAAUAAAUGAACUCCUUAAACAGAAAGAUGUGCUAAAUGAGGAUGUUAGAAACUUGACAUUAAAAAUAGAGCAGGAAACUCAGAAGCGCUGCCUUACACAAAAUGACUUGAAGAUGCAAACACAGCAAGUUAACACACUAAAAAUGUCAGAAAAACAGUUAAAACAAGAGAAUAAUCAUCUCAUGGAAAUGAAAAUGAGCUUGGAAAAGCAGAAUGCUGAACUUCGGAAAGAACGUCAAGAUGCAGAUGGGCAAAUGAAAGAACUUCAGGAUCAGCUUGAAGCGGAGCAGUAUUUCUCAACCCUCUAUAAAACACAGGUGAGGGAACUUAAAGAAGAAUGUGAAGAAAAAACCAAACUUUGUAAAGAAUUACAGCAGAAGAAACAGGAAUUACAGGAAGAAAGGGAUUCCUUGGCUGCUCAACUGGAGAUCACCUUGACCAAAGCAGAUUCUGAGCAGCUGGCUCGUUCAAUUGCUGAAGAGCAGUAUUCUGAUUUGGAAAAAGAGAAAAUUAUGAAGGAGCUUGAGAUCAAAGAGAUGAUGGCUAGACACAAACAGGAACUCACUGAAAAAGAUGCUACAAUUGCAUCUCUUGAAGAAACGAAUAGAACACUAACUAGUGAUGUUGCCAAUCUUGCAAAUGAGAAAGAAGAAUUAAAUAACAAAUUGAAAGAUGCACAAGAACAGCUGUCACGGCUGAAGGAUGAGGAGAUCAGUGCAGCUGCUAUUAAAGCACAGUUUGAGAAGCAGCUGCUCACAGAGAGAACACUGAAAACUCAAGCUGUGAAUAAGUUGGCUGAGAUCAUGAAUCGAAAAGAACCUGUCAAGCGUGGUAGUGACACUGAUGUGCGGAGAAAAGAGAAAGAAAAUCGGAAGCUACAUAUGGAGCUUAAAUCUGAACGUGAAAAACUGACCCAGCAGAUGAUCAAGUACCAGAAAGAACUGAAUGAAAUGCAGGCUCAAAUAGCUGAAGAGAGCCAGAUUCGAAUUGAACUGCAGAUGACACUGGACAGUAAAGAUAGUGACAUUGAGCAGCUGCGGUCACAGCUCCAGGCUUUGCAUAUUGGUCUGGAUAGUUCCAGUAUAGGCAGUGGACCGGGGGACGCUGAGGCAGAUGAUGGGUUUCCAGUUCAUAUCACUCAAUCACGCACUAUGGAAUCCAUGUCAUUCACCUACCAGCGUUCCUCUACUUCUCUCAAUAUUGCCACUAAGCCUUCCAGUUCUCAUAUGCUUCUUGACUCUGAUUCUGACUCAGAAGAAGAAUCUUUGCCUUACUUACCUAUUUCAUCGGAACCUAAUGGUACAGAAUCAAGACUAGAAGGAUGGCUUUCAUUGCCUUUACGAAACAACACUAAGAAAUUUGGAUGGACUAAAAAGUAUGUGAUUGUAAGCAGUAAGAAGAUUCUUUUCUAUGACAGCGAACAAGAUAAAGAACAAUCUAAUCCUUACAUGGUUUUAGAUAUAGACAAAUUAUUUCAUGUCCGACCAGUUACACAGACAGAUGUAUAUAGAGCAGAUGCUAAAGAUAUUCCAAGGAUAUUUCAGAUUCUGUACGCCAAUGAAGGAGAAAGUAAGAAGGAACAAGAAUUUCCAGUGGAGCCAGUAGGAGAAAAAUCAAAUUAUAUUUGCCAUAAAGGACAUGAAUUUAUUCCUACUCUGUAUCAUUUCCCAACCAACUGUGAGGCUUGUAUGAAGCCAUUGUGGCAUAUGUUUAAACCUCCUCCUGCUUUAGAAUGCCGGCGCUGCCAUAUUAAAUGUCAUAAAGAUCACAUGGACAAAAAGGAGGAGAUUAUAGCACCUUGCAAGGUUUAUUGUGAUAUUUCGACGGCAAAGAAUCUAUUGUUGUUAGCAAAUUCUACAGAAGAGCAGCAGAAGUGGGUUAGUCGGUUGGUGAAAAAGAUUCCUAAAAAGCCUCCAGCUCCAGACCCUUUUGCACGGUCAUCACCUAGAACUUCAAUGAAGAUACAACAAAACCAGUCUAUUAGACGGCCAAGUCGACAGCUUGCCCCAAACAAACCAAGGACCUUCAGUAUAUGAAUAAUGAUGUGCAUUGGCUGUAUUAUCAGAAAUCUUUUCAUUCUAACCACAAACAUCUUAUAUGAAACUUUUCUUGAAACUAUUAUCUCAAGGAAGUAAUUUAGAAUGACAAAGGUAGAAUUGGUGUGUCAGCAGUGAAAAUGUUGAAUUUUUCUGUGAGUUCUGGCCCUGCCCUUCGAAUCAUUCUUCAUUGAUUUUUUAAUACAUUUUGCAUAGCAACAAUUGCUUGAUUUGGCAUUUAAAGACUGGGAUUGGUCAUUUGAUGAUGUUGAUGGUGGUGAUGAUGAUGACGAUGUUUUUGAUUUCUGAAGAAAUAAAUGGGCUAGCUGCCUUCUAUGAAUGCAGUCAUUAUUCAAGGUGAUCAUAUUCUUCCAGUUAAAACAAGACUGAAGUAUGAUGGGCCAGAAUUUCUUAAAAAGCUAUAUUUUCUGGAGGGACUGAUACAUACACACACACACACACACACACACACACAUAUAUUUCCCUUAUUCCUGCAAUAUAAAUUAUAAAUCUUGGAUAUUUUCUGGGCUCCUUUGGAGCAUCAAGUUGAACCAACAAUGAUUGGUUAAUAGAGUAAGAAUAUCAUAUGCAACUCUUCCAAACUUGUUCCAUAAAGCUCUCUUGGCAGUCACUCACACUACAUUGCACAAAAGGAUUGAGAAGAGUUAAAGCUUAAAUCAUCUUUUCAGCUUCAACAGAGAGAUUUCACCAGCACAUUUACCAGAAGAUUCUGGGAAUGGAUUCCACUACAGUGAUAGAGACUGCAUCUUUAAGAAGUGACCAUUAUACUGUGUGUGUGCAUAUAUAUGUGUGUGUGUCUCUCUAUGCGCGUGCGUGCACACACACACACACACAUAUAUAAUAGUACUGUAAUACUGCAAGAGGGUUCAACAAAUGUCCCAUUUUAUUUUUUUAUACACAUUAAUCAGAUAUCUUACUGCAGUUGCAACUAUGCACUUGUAUAAAGCCAUAAUGUUGGAGUUUAUAUCACUCAUUUGUGUAUACCCCAUGGAGGCUGCAUGUUCAUGUUUAAGCAAUUAUUGUAACAGGAGUUUUGAUGUUAAUUGUAUCAAUUUCCUAAUGCUUCAUGAUAGGCAACUUUACCCAUUUUGAAUGCCUUAAUUUAAUUUUUUUUUAAAGUCUCACCCUUUUCUGUAUUUUGAAAAAAGAAGUGUUUUCCAGCUCUUAGGAUGCAAAUUCGCUUUGCAAAAGAAAAACAGUGCACUAUUUUUACAUGUAAUAGUUAUCAAUGUCAACCUAUUUUGAUUGUAUAACAAUUUUUUUUAAAAGUACUCGUGAUAGAAACAAUAAUGGAUACUAUUGGAACUAAUAUAUCUUUUAUGUAUAUCUAUUAUUCAUCCCACUCUUCUUACAGACCUCAGUAUUAGUGUGUGACUGAAAUGUUUGCUUUGCUUUGAAUUUGCUGGCUACCCUAGAUGUAUUUUUAUUUCUGGUAGAGACAUUGUGACUAUUUUUACAUUUUCACACUCAAGAUUCUAAGAUUAUCUCAAAUAUAAAGAAAAUUAAGACAUACUGUAGAUAUAUUUUAAAUAUUUAAAUGUGAUUCCUCAAACACACAACUGUAUAUGGCAAUAUUUCAGGAUUGGGCUAAAACUGGUGACUGGGAAGAACUAGCCUCAGAGGCUCUUAACCUGAUUUUUAUUUUUUAAAUGAUGUUAAAGUCAUAGGUUAUGCAGGACCAUUUCUGCUAGAUUUCUCAUUGUCCCAGAAAAAUGUGUUUUGUACUGCUACCAUAUGGAUUAAUGAUAAGCAUCAAGUUAAAAAAAUUAUGUAGUCUUUUAUCAGUCUCUUUAUAAUACAUAUACACAGGGUUUGGUGUGAUAUUGAAAUACAUCAUCUAAUAGUUCAAUGAAGGAAGCAGACAUUUUUCAUUGAUUACUUUUGGAGUCAGUGUAGAAAUGUUUAAAGAGUUAGAUCCCCAAAAUAUAGAUACUGUUGUGAAAAUUGAAGAGUGGCCUUUGGCCUACUGAUGUACUAAAACUGAAUCUUGUUAUUCUCAUUAUCCCACCUGCACUCUUCCAUGAUGUCUGUGCUAAACCAGAAACUCAUGUCAUUUCCCUCACAGAGAUGUUCUGCAGUUCUGGUUUGGGGGCACAGCCUUUUUUUUUUUUUUUUUUUUUUAAGUAAGAUAUAAAAAUGAAAAAUAUAUAAAAUUUAUAUAGAAUAAAUAUUUCCAUUCAUUAGAUUUGUUAAAAGGAGACUGAAUUAAUAUUUUAUAUAAAGAUUUUGUUACACUAUGGGAGGUUCUAUCAUAUUCUGAAUUGGAGAGUAUAUAUAUAUAUAUAUAUUUUUAAUAAACUUUAUUAAGGUGAAAUAAUUUGAAGUUUACAUGAGUAAUUGAAAUAUUUGAGUAAAAAUGGCAAAAGUUAAUUUUUGAAUGCUGUAUAUAUUAGAGAAUAUGGAGAAUCAUGGUGUGAUGCAACUAUACGAGGAAAUUUAAUGUGAAGUUUUUUGGGGAAAAAAAGGUAUUCUAAGGGGUGAAAAAAAUCUCUCCCAUGGAGAUUCUUCACAUUAUAUGGUUUAACAUAAGGGUUCAAUAGGGUUGUUUCUCCAGCUAAUGGAAAUGCGCUUAAUAAAAAUUCUGACCUUGGGUAAGAAUUUGCUUUUUACCCUGUUGCUGAUUUCAUGUACAUACAUGAAUGCAUACACCCAUACAAAUGUUCUCUUCUCAACACUCAUUAAAUACAAUAUUGACUUGGUUUAACAACCUGAUUUUGUGCCAGCUUCUCUUUUUCUUGAGGCUCCAAAGGUUCCCAGAUAAAUAAAGACCAAAAGUUGCUUAUUUCUUCACACCUGAUUUCUCCUAGAGCCAUAAAUACCUCCUAUUGAGAACUAAGAAGUAGUGAAUACUGGGAUUUUCUUAGUUGGAUUUUUUACUUUUGUUUAGUGGGGGAUAGCAAGACAGAAGUAGAAGGAAAACUGGUGCCGGUAUUAUUGUUAAAAAUAAAUGUAUAGUGAAUGUUUGAAAAGUAUUAAAGAAAAUAUGCUAUCUAGAAGCAAGAUUUAAAAAAAAAUCUAUCUGAAAAUUUUAACUAAAGGAUACCAAGAAAUCUAGAGUAAGGUUAGUGUCUUUAAAACUAACCUAGGCUAGAGUCACAAAUCUGGCUCUGAAGGAUGUCUUUUUUUUUUAAAUCAGUUUAGCUGUAGAUCCUCAAAAAACAAAACAAAACAAAACAAAACAAAAAAAAACUCUAGGUUGCCAAACCACAAUUUAAGAAGUUUUGCUGCUGUUGUUAAUCUAUUCUUACAGGAUUCUCGUGGUAAAAUAGAGAAACUUAAGACACUAUAUUACCUUUUUCAAACAUGCUUUAAUAACAUGUUUAAUAUUCUAUGAGAGCAAGUCACUUCUGAGUUUCUCAGUCUGUGUCGACACUGCUACUGACUCACGUCUCCUCCCCUGGAAGAAGGCUGCAGUUUUCCUCUGGCGUGAAGAUAACCAUAGUUGAUUCAUAAAGCACUUUGAAAAUAGGCACUGUAUGACAGUGCCGGAUAUUAUGCUUGGGGGCCUGUCCUCGAUUCCCUUCCCCAUAAUGAGUUUUGUUUGAAAUUGUAAUAAGUUAUGAACUGCAUGGUUUAGAUAAUCAUAAAUAUUUGAUCAACUGUCCCCGUUGAACAAAAAUCGUACCCCCCUGAUUUUUAAAAAAUUUUUGUUGCAUCUUUGUAGUAAUGUAAUUGUAUUUUAUGCCUGCUUUUUAUAUUAAAAAAAUUAAAUAAAAGAAAUUAAGACAUAA
This is an RNA transcript of Canis lupus familiaris (dog), 8185 nucleotides long. It is a transcript of the gene named Rho associated coiled-coil containing protein kinase 2, with no coding region annotated. The transcript has 38 exons. The record is from RefSeq and is a predicted model, not a curated record. Lineage: Eukaryota; Metazoa; Chordata; Mammalia; Carnivora; Canidae.